RNAcentral lists this ribosomal RNA (497 nucleotides) under uncultured bacterium. RNAcentral describes it as "partial 16S ribosomal RNA". It matches the Rfam family "Bacterial small subunit ribosomal RNA", at positions 28 to 507 of the family's 1533-position model. The record is from RNAcentral.
GAUGAACGCUGGCGGCGUGCCUAAUACAUGCAAGUCGAGCGAACAGACGAGGCGCUUGCUCCUCUGACGUUACCGGCGGACGGGUGAGUACCACGUGUAUGACCUACCUAUAAGACUGGGAUACCUUCAGGAAACCGGAGCUAGUACCGGAUAAUAUAUUGAACCUCAUGGUUCAUUAGUGAUCGACCGUUUUGCUGUCACUUAUACGGAUUACCUCGCCGCAUUAGCUAGUUGGUAAGGUAACGGCUUACCAAGGCAACGAUGCGUAGCCGACCUGAGAGGGUGAUCGGCCACACUGGAACUGAGACACGGUCCAGACUCCUACGGGAGGCAGCAGUAGGGAAUCUUCGGCAAUGGGCGAAAGCCUGACGGAGCAACGCCGCGUGAGUGAAGAAGGUCUUCGGAUCGUAAAACUCUGUUAUUAGGGAAGAACAAAAGUGUAAGUAACUAUGCACGUCUUGACGGUACCAAAACAGAAAGCCACGGCUAACUACGUG